RNAcentral lists this ribosomal RNA (444 nucleotides) under uncultured bacterium. RNAcentral describes it as "bacterial SSU rRNA". It matches the Rfam family "Bacterial small subunit ribosomal RNA", at positions 330 to 792 of the family's 1533-position model. The record is from RNAcentral.
GCCAGACUCCUACGGGAGGCAGCAGUGGGGGAUAUUGCACAAUGGGGGGAACCCUGAUGCAGCGACGCCGCGUGGGUGAAGAAGCGCCUCGGCGCGUAAAGCCCUGUCAGCAGGGAAGAAAAUGACGGUACCUGAAGAAGAAGCCCCGGCUAACUACGUGCCAGCAGCCGCGGUAAUACGUAGGGGGCAAGCGUUAUCCGGAUUUACUGGGUGUAAAGGGUGCGUAGGUGGUUUCUUAAGUCAGAGGUGAAAGGCUGCGGCUCAACCGUAGUAAGCCUUUGAAACUGGGGAACUUGAGUGCAGGAGAGGAGAGGGGAAUUCCUAGUGUAGCGGUGAAAUGCGUAGAUAUUAGGAGGAACACCAGUUGCGAAGGCGGCUCUCUGGACUGUAACUGACACUGAGGCACGAAAGCGUGGGGAGCAAACAGGAUUAGAUACCCGCGUA